This is a transfer RNA of Clostridium sp. CAG:62, 73 nucleotides long. It matches the Rfam family "tRNA". From Rfam's summary of the family: Transfer RNA (tRNA) molecules are approximately 80 nucleotides in length. Their secondary structure includes four short double-helical elements and three loops (D, anti-codon, and T loops). Further hydrogen bonds mediate the characteristic L-shaped molecular structure. tRNAs have two regions of fundamental functional importance: the anti-codon, which is responsible for specific mRNA codon recognition, and the 3' end, to which the tRNAs corresponding amino acid is attached (by aminoacyl-tRNA synthetases). tRNAs cope with the degeneracy of the genetic code in two manners: having more than one tRNA (with a specific anti-codon) for a particular amino acid; and 'wobble' base-pairing, i.e. permitting non-standard base-pairing at the 3rd anti-codon position. Lineage: Bacteria; Bacillati; Bacillota; Clostridia; Eubacteriales; Clostridiaceae. The record is from Rfam.
GCAUCUGUGGCUCAGUGGAUAGAGUAGAGGCUUCCGAAGCCUUUGGUCGGGGGUUCGAAUCCCUCCAGGUGCA